GCGGAUGUGGCUCAGUGGUAGAGCAUCACCUUGCCAAGGUGAGGGUCGCGGGUUCGAAUCCCGUCAUCCGCU
Jonesia denitrificans DSM 20603 is the source of this 72-nucleotide transfer RNA. It matches the Rfam family "tRNA". From Rfam's summary of the family: Transfer RNA (tRNA) molecules are approximately 80 nucleotides in length. NCBI's taxonomy places the organism in Bacteria, Bacillati, Actinomycetota, Actinomycetes, Micrococcales, Jonesiaceae. The record is from Rfam.